CCUUCCCCUAGAGGUGUUGCAGGUGUGGCUAUUGUGUGACGGUUGGGUCAGUACGUGGCAGAGAGGAAAGGGGCUGUGCCUAAGCUCAGUGUUCUGACCUGCAAACAUCUAUCUGAAUGAUUAGUAGCCUAACAUU
Small nucleolar RNA from Acomys russatus (golden spiny mouse), 136 nucleotides. RefSeq annotates it as small nucleolar RNA SNORA17. Lineage: Eukaryota; Metazoa; Chordata; Mammalia; Rodentia; Muridae. The transcript has a single exon. The record is from RefSeq and is a predicted model, not a curated record.